RNAcentral lists this transfer RNA (66 nucleotides) under Neaxius acanthus. RNAcentral's name for it is "tRNA-Asn". Lineage: Eukaryota; Metazoa; Arthropoda; Malacostraca; Decapoda; Strahlaxiidae. The record is from RNAcentral. RNAcentral also lists the same sequence under 1 other name.
UUGGGUGAAGCCAAAGAGCGGCACAUCAUUGUUAAUGAUGCCAAUGAAAUUAUAGUUCCUCCCAAG